CCCCCCCCCCCCCCCUGAAAAGAUAAGCGUGGGAAAACCUCUCUCUCGCUCUCUUCUCUGUCACAUUCACUUGAGGUCAUUCACUCGGCCCAUAAAUGGCUUUGUUUUUGUUUACAUUAGCUCAGAGGCGGCUUCAUAAGUCAUGAAUGAACUGACUAGUAUCUCUUCAGACUUUCUAUCAAUUGCUUUGGUGUCUCGAAGUCGACGGGUGUAUAUGUCAUUUUGAGACAGAGAAUUUAUUUUACUCCAAUAUAAAGUAAAAGACGAAGAAAUUUGAGUACUGCAAUUUUUGUAAAAAUAAGAAAAUGCAAUAUUGUUUUUAAUAUAAGGAAAAUAAUUACAGCUUUAAAUACAUGACUUGGUCUAGCUCGAUAAAAAUCCAAACAACUAUGAUCAUAUACAUUUUUUUUCCUUCGUAACAUUGGAUAACAAAUUUCACAAAUUCCAACAUACUAUAAAUAUUGAUUAUUUAGUGCAAGGGUAAAUAUGACAAUGACUCGGAACAUAAUACAGGGAUAACAAUUCAUCAAAUUACUCUUAAUACUUGUAAACGUUUUUUUUUUUUUUUUUUUUUCUUCAGGGGGGCGGGGUUAAAUUUUCCCUCGUGUCGCGCCACGCCUUUUUAAUUUCUUGGCGAGAGGCCUGAUUAUGCAUAGAAUAAAAAAAAAUCAGCAAAAGGGAAAAGUAAAACAGGGGGGCAAAGUUACAUAUCUACAUCUUCACUUGUAAGGUAGACUACAUGCAUGCAAUGUAAAUCCUUAUUUUUAUUUCUAUAUUUAUUUUGUAAAAACACUGAAUUUUCUGCUGUGACUUUAGAUAAAACUCAGACUUCACAGAGCUGCCAAGCAGAACGUUUUUAACGUAUUUAUACGUGUUUUUUUAAGGGAAAAUACGUAUUUGUUUUGCUGUGCUAAAAUUGUAAGUUCUGAGUAUGGCUAUGCGAACGUGGCUACAGGUUGACUGUGAGAACGAGCGUAUGCAUAGUAUGCAUACACACAACACAGGGGAUGUACACCACUCAAAGACGUGCGCAUUACCCCAGGCCAUGCAUACACACAUGCAUCCGAUCGUGAUAUCAAACCAGCAUCCACAACACACGCAAAUUACAUAUCAGUGCACUGCACUACACACAGCGUCACUCACUAGUACAAGAAAAUCCCGAUGU
This is a long non-coding RNA of Strongylocentrotus purpuratus (purple sea urchin), 1165 nucleotides long. RefSeq lists it as uncharacterized. The transcript has 2 exons. The record is from RefSeq and is a predicted model, not a curated record. Lineage: Eukaryota; Metazoa; Echinodermata; Echinoidea; Camarodonta; Strongylocentrotidae.